AUGAUGAUUCUCGAUGACAGCAUCUACAACAGUCAGAUCUGCGAUAAUGCAGUUGUUGCAGGGUACGAAGAACCUGAUUGUAACCAUGGCAAGGUGAGCUAUGGGAAAAUGAGGAGUCAUCACAACACUCAUCAAAGAGAGGGUCUAAAGUGUUGGUGCCAAUUAAUAAUGGAACACCACUAUUUGACCGAAGAUCAGGAACAAUUAAAGCCAAGGUUGAAAUUUCUGGCUCAGUCUCAAGAAGGGCUUUCGGGAACUUGAGGUCAACCUCCACAUAUCCCAGGAUUCUCUGGACUGCAUGCGCUGAGUUUUGCAACCUGAACCUGAAGUUCAGCGAUCUGCUUCUGGAUGUCUUUGGUCAUAGCCAAAAAAGCUUGUUCUGCUUUCUGUGGCGCUCCAAUAUCCUCGGUUAAGAGAAGAAGCUCUGCAAACGACGGUGGCUUUGUCUUGAGCUGCUCAAGCUGGAGACUGGUGAUGAGGAGACUGUCCCAACACCCACGGCAGAAUUGCUUUAGAAGUUGCUUGUCAGCAUCAUGAGCAGAAAUUCCUCCUUUCGUGACCACAUAGCUUAAGGCUGUAUGAAGUUGCUGCAGGUAAUCUGAUGCUUUCUCCCCAGCAUUUUGAUUAUUGUUCAAGAAUCGUGCAAAAAGUUCAUCCC
This is a long non-coding RNA of Melanotaenia boesemani (Boeseman's rainbowfish), 658 nucleotides long. RefSeq lists it as uncharacterized. The transcript has 4 exons. The record is from RefSeq and is a predicted model, not a curated record. NCBI's taxonomy places the organism in Eukaryota, Metazoa, Chordata, Actinopteri, Atheriniformes, Melanotaeniidae.